UGAAUGACAAACUUUAGUGGCUCUGGAGAGACACAUUUGUUAUUUUUAAUCUUGCAAUAUGUUGGUGGCCAUGUCUGAGAUAGCACGAAAUGGUCAAAUGAAAGAGGUGGUGGUGGUGAUGGAGAAGGUGGUGGUGGUGGUGGUGGUGAUGGAGGAGGUGGUGGUGGUGAUGGAGGUGGAGGUGGUGGAGAUCUUAUCCUAGGUGGUGGUGGUGGUGGUGGAGAUCUUAUUCUUGGUGGUGGUGGUGGUGGAGAUCUUAUCCUAGGUGGUGGUGGUGNUGGAGGUGGAGGUGGUGGAGAUCUUAUCCUAGGUGGUGGUGGUGGUGGUGGAGAUCUUAUUCUUGGUGGUGGUGGUGGUGGAGAUCUUAUCCUAGGUGGUGGUGGUGGUGGAGAUCUUAUUCUUGGUGGUGGUGGUGGGGGGGAUCUUCUCCUAGGUGGUGGUGGUGGAGAUCUUCUCCUUGGUGGUGGAGAUCUUCUCUUACUUUCCUCUAGAGGUUCAUAUGAAGAAUAUGGUUUGGAUAUUUGAUGGUAUAUGUGAAAAGGAGGGAGGAAUAAUGUUGGUGAUUGUGGAAGUGUAGUGGU
RNAcentral lists this long non-coding RNA (581 nucleotides) under Lathyrus oleraceus (garden pea). RNAcentral's name for it is "Pisum sativum (pea) long non-coding RNA (PSAT_LNC029749)". The record is from RNAcentral. Lineage: Eukaryota; Viridiplantae; Streptophyta; Magnoliopsida; Fabales; Fabaceae.